This 498-nucleotide ribosomal RNA is filed under the name uncultured bacterium. RNAcentral describes it as "partial 16S ribosomal RNA". It matches the Rfam family "Bacterial small subunit ribosomal RNA", at positions 30 to 523 of the family's 1533-position model. The record is from RNAcentral.
AUUGAACGCUGGCGGCAUGCCUUACACAUGCAAGUCGAACGGUAACAGGUCUUCGGAUGCUGACGAGUGGCGAACGGGUGAGUAAUACAUCGGAACGUGCCUAGUAGUGGGGGAUAACUACUCGAAAGAGUGGCUAAUACCGCAUGAGAGCUUCGGAUGAAAGGCGGGGAUGGCACGACCUUGUGCUACUAGAGCGGCGGAGGACAGAUUAGGUAUUUGGUGGGAUAAAAGCUUACCAAGGCGACGAUCUGUAGCUGGUCUGAGAGGACGAUCAGCCACACUGGGACUGAGACACGGCCCAGACUCCUACGGGAGGCAGCAGUGGGGAAUUUUGGACAAUGGGCGCAAGCCUGAUCCAGCAAUGCCGCGUGCAGGAUGAAGGCCUUCGGGGUGUAAACUGCGUUUGUACGGAACGAAAAGCCCUGGGUUAAUACCCUGGGGUCAUGACGGUACCGUAAGAAUAAGCACCGGCUAACUACGUGCCAGCCGCCGCCGUAA